CUUGACCCACCAAAAUGCUUACUGUGAAAAUUCUAAGCAUUAUUGUGGCAGAUCCAGUAAGUCCCAGAGAAGGAUUCUGAUUGGUCCUGCUUCAGUCACAUGCUUGCAUCUUAGUCCAAUCACUGUGGCCUGGAGGAUGGGACACCAUGAUUUGCAAGACUCUGGUCACAUGCCCACACCUGUGGCUUCUGAAGCAGAGCACCAGCAGUGACAGUCCCACCAGAACCGCAUGGAAUAGAAAACUGUGCAUUUCCCUAAGGAAAGGGAAUGCCAGAGAAGGGCAGAAGGGAAAUCAGGAAGACAAAACGGUAAAUUACCUACCACAAAUCCAAUUCAUUGGUAUUUUUCCACUUACACUUAACCAAGCAACGAUUUCUCCUGGUCCCAUAAUGGAAAAGAGGGUUUAUCUAGAUUCAUAUAUACAAGACUGAAGAGUGAAGAGAGACCCAGAGAAUGUUCUAAAAUCUGCCAGUUAGCAUAAUCACACAGAGAAAUCUCUGCUUCCAGAGGAGGAGCCAAGUUCAAGUCAGAGUGUCUUCAUGUUGGAGUGGACCUUUCCUCUAUCUGUCAACAGAAUGGAUAAAUUGUGGAAGAGUAAUAUCAGAAUACUACACAUCAGUAAAAAACAACAAACUUCUGCUACAAACAAUCAACAUCGAUGAAUCUUUCAGGCAAAAGGUUAUAGAAACAGAUGAUCAGUGGCCCACGGAUUCCAGGUGAGGAUCUGGGACCCAGACAUCCAGAUAUUGAAAACACAGGGAUGGAGUCUGUAUGGAAAAAAUUAAAAUAUAGCAAAAUGUGAAAUACGGAAGAGAAAUCUUUCAAUUUCCCAAUGGAAGUGAGAAAAGAGCAAAGAAAAGUAUUGGUCUUCCAAAACAAAUAGAGGACGGAGCUGCUGCUGUUGCAUGGUGUCUAGAAACUCAGACAACUUCAUCAUUCCAUAUUUGCAUCCAAGAGAGAGAAAGAAAAACUACAAUCAUUUUCCAUUUACCCAUCAACCCAUCAACCUCCAAAUAAAGGCUAUUAAAAAACAAUCAAAGUGUGAAGAGGGCAGAAAAUGUGAUGAAGAGAUUCUUUGGAGAAAGUAGCUGCCACUGUUACCUUGGGAUCUGCCUAUAGUCCUCACAGAGCUUGCCCUUGCAGGAUAGAACAUAGGAGUCUGGGAGUCUGCAAGAAGAGACAGGGUCUCACUAUGUUGCCCCAGUUGGCCUUGAACUGCUGGACUCAAGGGAUCCUCCUGCCUCAGCAUCCUGAGUAGCUGGGUCUACAGGCAUGAACCACCAGGCCCAGAACCCUGUCUUUUGAAAGCCAUAUGCGAUCUGUCUGCCCUGAAGUGACUACUUCAUCUCCAACCAGCCCUUGGCUGGCAAAGUCAGGAAGACUCCAGUCUUUCCUGAAGACCAGGGGAGAGUUUAUAACUCUAGCAUCAAAGUCAGCAGCUGUUCAUCUAGAAGACAACUUCCCAAAAGUCAAUGUCUUUGCCUGAAGCUUUUCUUCCCAGAUCUCCUAUGGUGAAACAACCAAAGGGAAGAAGAAUGUGGGCAGCCCUCAGUAAGACAGGAGAUGAGCAUCAACAUUGACCCAUUCUUUCUUCCAGUCCUCGAUGCUUACCUUGUACAUUCUUCUUUGUCUUCCGACUCAGUGCCUUUAGGGUAUGGACGUUGCCUGGUCCCACACAAGCCAAGCAUCAAAUGGAUGGCUCAACAAGGAGGCCAAGACCAGCUAAUGUUUAGUGAGCACCCAAAGGGGCCACACUGGAGAGAACAGCACAGCUCCGUCUGAGAAACAGCUGUUCCUUCCUGCCUGAGAGGCAGAGUGAUAGAAGAUAUCACAGAAUGUUGCUGCUUUGUCUUCCACCCUGAACCCUCCACGACCUCCCUGUAGCUUCCUGAUUUUAAGUAGACAUCAAAUGAUUCUUAAUCCUUUCUGGGUCUUGGAACGAUUUGAAAAUUGUCAACAGUACUGGGAUUCCCAGAAUAAUGCACAUAUGUACAUACUCAGAUAUUCCCCAAGCCCUGGAUAUAAUUUUAAGGGAGUUCACAGACCACACUCCCCCACCCAUCUGUGGACCCAGAUUCUGUGGGUUCGAGAUUCAGAAGCCCUGUUUCUAGGCAGGCCCUCUGUUGCUAACGCCCCUCGAGAACAUCACCCUAGAUGAUUAUCCCUUCUUCCUCCACUCCUUCCCACCUUCUCCAACUGCUGGGUUUCAGCACAAAGAUUGCUUGCCAGUUAAACUGGCACCAUGGACCGCACAGUAGUUGUUUCUUGGGUCUAGAGGAAACAGCCAGAUUCCUUUAAGUAAAUCAUGUCUUAGUUAUUGAUUGUCUCCACUUGAAGUUUUUGACAAUCUCUGAUUAAAUCAUAAACCACUGCAUCCUCCAUCUCCUGCUUCAGUCUCUCAAACCAAAUGUCAGUUUCUUUGUAGCCCUUCAAUUCAAAGUUUGCAAAUUCUGGAUCUAGGCUUCAUUCUUUCACUCAUUUAAGCACUAACAUCUAUUGCAUAACUAUUAAAUGCCAGGCACUGUUCUAGGCAUCAGGGACAUAAUAAUGUACAAAACAGCCUUCAUGUUAAUUUACUUAUUCUCUUCCAAAAUGCUAAUUCUAACCAGUGCUGCUUUAAAAACCAUUAUAAUUAUUACAAUAACUGCCUAAGUUAUAAGCUCUAUUCUAAAUAGUUAAUAUGUAUUAUUAUUUUUCAGAAAACUCUAUGAGGUAGGUAUUAUUAUUAUCAUUCUUAUUUUACAGAAGUGAAAAUCAUAAAGGUUAAGUAAUUUGCCCCAGCUAGAGAGGGACAAAGACAAGAUGUAAC
This 2809-nucleotide long non-coding RNA is filed under the name Homo sapiens (human). RNAcentral's name for it is "HSALNT0377577". The record is from RNAcentral. Lineage: Eukaryota; Metazoa; Chordata; Mammalia; Primates; Hominidae.